UACGGAGGGGGCUAGCGUUGUUCGGAAUUACUAGGCGUAAGGCGCACGUAGGCGGCUUUGCAAGUCAGAGGUGAAAGCCCGGGGCUCAACCCCGGAAUUGCCUUUGAGACUGCAUCGCUAGAAUUGUGGAGAGGUAAGUGGAAUUCCGAGUGUAGAGGUGAAAUUCGUAGAUAUUCGGAAGAACACCAGUGGCGAAGGCGACUUACUGGACACAUAUUGACGCUGAGGUGCGAAAGCGUGGGGAGCAAACAGG
Molecule: ribosomal RNA, 253 nt
Filed under: uncultured bacterium
Lineage: Bacteria
Description: partial 16S ribosomal RNA
Rfam family: Bacterial small subunit ribosomal RNA
Source: RNAcentral